Molecule: ribosomal RNA, 376 nt
Filed under: uncultured bacterium
Lineage: Bacteria
Description: bacterial SSU rRNA
Rfam family: Bacterial small subunit ribosomal RNA
Source: RNAcentral
UACGUAGGUGGCAAGCGUUGUCCGGAAUUAUUGGGCGUAAAGCGCGCGCAGGCGGUCUCUUAAGUCUGAUGUGAAAGCCCACGGCUCAACCGUGGAGGGUCAUUGGAAACUGGGAGACUUGAGUGCAGAAGAGGAGAGCGGAAUUCCACGUGUAGCGGUGAAAUGCGUAGAGAUGUGGAGGAACACCAGUGGCGAAGGCGGCUCUCUGGUCUGUAACUGACGCUGAGGCGCGAAAGCGUGGGGAGCGAACAGGAUUAGAUACCCUGGUAGUCCACGCAGUAAACGAUGAGUGCUAAGUGUUAGAGGGCUUCCACCCUUUAGUGCUGCAGCUAACGCAUUAAGCACUCCGCCUGGGGAGUACGGCCGCAAGGCUGAA